GCUCAGGAUGAACGCUAGCGGCAGGCUUAAUACAUGCAAGUCGUACGGGAUCCGAGGUAGCAAUACUUUGGUGAGAGUGGCGCACGGGUGCGUAACACGUAUGCAACCUACCUUUAACCGGGACACAACCUCGAGAAAUUGAGGCUAAUAUCCCAUAACACUGCGAAGUGGCAUCACUUUGCAGUUAAAACUCCGGUGGUUAUUGAUGGGCAUGCGCGACAUUAGCUAGUUGGUGAGGUAACGGCCCACCAAGGCUACGAUGUCUAGGGGUUCUGAGAGGAUUAUCCCCCACACUGGUACUGAGACACGGACCAGACUCCUACGGGAGGCAGCAGUAAGGAAUAUUGGUCAAUGGGCGCAAGCCUGAACCAGCCAUGCCGCGUGAAGGAUGACGGCCCUAUGGGUUGUAAACUUCUUUUGUACGGGAAAAAACCACCGGUCGUGUAUCGGUGCUGAUGGUACCGUAAGAAUAAGCAUCGGCUAACUCCGUGCCAGCAGCCGCGGUAAUACGGAGGAUGCAAGCGUUAUCCGGAUUCAUUGGGUUUAAAGGGUGCGCAGGCGGAGUGAUAAGUCAGUGGUGAAAGCCUACAGCUUAACUGUAGAACUGCCAUUGAUACUGUCAUUCUUGAGUAUUGUUGAGGUAGGCGGAAUGUGUCAUGUAGCGGUGAAAUGCUUAGAUAUGACACAGAACACCGAUCGCGAAGGCAGCUUACCAAGCAAUAACUGACGCUCAUGCACGAAAGCGUGGGGAUCAAACAGGAUUAGAUACCCUGGUAGUCCACGCCGUAAACGAUGAUCACUCGAUGUUGGCGAUACACAGUCAGCGUCUUAGGGAAACUAUUAAGUGAUCCACCUGGGGAGUACGGUCGCAAGA
This 874-nucleotide ribosomal RNA is filed under the name uncultured bacterium. RNAcentral's name for it is "bacterial SSU rRNA". It matches the Rfam family "Bacterial small subunit ribosomal RNA", at positions 22 to 893 of the family's 1533-position model. The record is from RNAcentral.